UACGGAGGGUGCAAGCGUUAUCCGGAUUUAUUGGGUUUAAAGGGUGCGCAGGCGGGAUAGUAAGUCAGUGGUGAAAUCCUACAGCUCAACUGUAGAACUGCCAUUGAUACUGCUAUUCUUGAGUACAGUUGAAGUGGGCGGAAUGUGUUGUGUAGCGGUGAAAUGCAUAGAUAUGACACAGAACUCCGAUCGCGAAGGCAGCUCACUAAGCUGUAACUGACGCUGAGGCACGAAAGCGUGGGGAGCGAACAGG
RNAcentral lists this ribosomal RNA (253 nucleotides) under uncultured bacterium. Its description in RNAcentral is "partial 16S ribosomal RNA". It matches the Rfam family "Bacterial small subunit ribosomal RNA", at positions 524 to 776 of the family's 1533-position model. The record is from RNAcentral.